Acinonyx jubatus (cheetah) is the source of this 2686-nucleotide long non-coding RNA. RefSeq lists it as uncharacterized. The transcript has 2 exons. The record is from RefSeq and is a predicted model, not a curated record. NCBI's taxonomy places the organism in Eukaryota, Metazoa, Chordata, Mammalia, Carnivora, Felidae.
GGGCAUGGGUGCUGCUGAGCAAGUAUUUUAAGGAAAUGAUCCAGAAUCCCCCGCCUCUGGCUUGGCAUAAUCAAUGUCAUUACUGCUUGUCUGGAAGCUUUGUCUUUUCUUGGAAAGGACCCAGGACUGGCAGAUUCAAGUAGUCAGUGUGGUGACUGGUGAAGGACGGAGGCUGCCAAACCAAGUGCAGGGAGGCUGGGCGCCCUUGAGCACUGGAUUCUGAGUAAAGGACCUGGGUUCCAGUCCCAACUUUGCCACUGUGGAUUUUCUCUUUUGACCUUUGAUGAGGUCCUUAACAGCUCUGUUUUCUCAUCCUCCUGAUCAAGUGAGACCAUUAUAAAAAUAAACAUAUGGGUUAUAAAAUAUAUAUUUUUUUAGGCAAGCUACAAAUGCAAGCAGUUAAAUGUUAUUUGGGGUUCCAUGUCAGCACAAAGAUAUAUAGCUGUUUUUUUCAUCCAGUGGUAUCCUUCAUGGACUUUCAGGGAGCAAGUGGGCACUUUGGUGAGCAUUGAUGCUGGUAGCCAACUCUCCCUGGCAUUGCUUUGGGGAAAAGAGAUUGUAAUAGUGUUUCCAGAGAAAAAGAACCACUAGGAUAUCUGUUUAUAUCUGCCUGUCUGUCUAUCUAUCUAUCUAUCUAUCUAUCUAUCUAUCUAAAAUGAGAUUUAUCAUGAGGAAUUGGCUCAUGUGAUUAUGGAAGCUGAGAAGUUCCAUGAUCUUCCAACUGCAACCUGGAGACCCAGGGGAGACAGUGGUGUAAUUCAGUCUGAGUCUGAAGGGCUGAGAACCAGGGGAGCCAAUGAUGUAAAGAGCAGGGAUGUAAAGUCCGAGGGCAGGGAAAAUGAAAUGAGAUGUACUAGCUUAAGUAGCAAGGUAGGAAAGAAAGGGGCAAAUUCCUCCUCUGCCUAUUGCGGUGUUCAGAUGCUCAGUGGAUUGGGUGAUGUCCACCCACAUGGGGGAGGGCAGUCCACUGAUUCAAAUGCUAAUCUCAUCCAGAAACAUCCUCACAGACAGGCACACCCAGAAACGAUGUUUAAUCUGGUCACCCUGAGGCCCACUCAGAUUGACACCUAAAAUUAAUUGGCACAGAAGGUGAUGUCCCUAGGCAAUGCUGAGCUCCUGCAAGAUCAAGUAUAAACUUCUUAGCCUGAUAUUUGGGGUCUUCCAUAAUCACUCCCCACCCAAACUCCUCAAUCUCAUUUCUUUACUCCAUCAGGUAUACCCUCCUCCUUAGUCAAACCUCAUUUGUCACUGGACGUACCUGUAGUCUUUUUUGCAGUGUUCCUUCCUCUCACUCCCAGCCAAUUCUACCUAUUUCCUGGCUCACCCAUGCUAUAUUGACCCUUCCCUGUGAACAACACCUGUUACUGGUGUCACGUAUGUGUUGUGCAUGGUGGGCGCUGCACAAGGACAUCUGGCCAGGGAAGGAGGAUAAAGGCUUAAAUCCAGCCAAAUCGUAUGACUCACUGAGGAGCUGUGUUUGCUUAGAGGACAGGUACCUUUUCCCAAUGGAAAAGAAGCACUGGAGAAGGAUGGCUCUGUAUGUAUAGAAUUAUAUACAAGUGAUAGAAUUAACUUUUCAUCUCUUUGUCUUGUAUUCUCUUGAGAUUAUAAGCUCCUUGCAGAGUCAGGCUUUGAUUUUCUUGUAGAUAAUCCCAUGAAAUAAUGCACAAUUUAAUUCUGAAUUAUGGCAAGAGCACUGGGUUCUGAGUAAGAGGUUGUGCUAAAAGUUCUUUAAGGAUAGAGCUAACUCAUUUCUUUACCUAUUAGUCCCUUUCACAUAAGAAGUCUUUAACAAAAGAGAAAUACAUCCCCAAUAAAUAUCUGAUUGCUCACUUAUUUAUGGUAACAGUGGGAAAACAUCAAUACCACUGUCUUUUAAGAAUGUUUCAAUACCUAUCUUAAGUUUAUUGGAAGCAGAGGCAGUAAUGGGACCAUUUUCUUCUGAGGACUCAGAACAGUUUUUAGUUGGGGCUCUUGGGUCUGGGUCUUCAUUCUCUCCUCCAGAGCAACAUUGCACUGGGACUUCAUGGUGGGCUAGAAAAAUGGGUCUGAAUCCUCCUGCUCAUUCAAGAGCCAGACUCUUCUCCAUAGGCCAAGGAGGAGAGCCACAUGUCUCCAUAGGCUAAGGAGGAGAGCCAAUGUCUGUCCCCAAGGUGUUCCUGGAUCGUCAGUGUGAAGACAUGUAGGGAAGUGGCCACACAAUUAUACAAGAGGCCCUACAGCAGGAGUGGGUCCAGAGGCCGGAGGGGUUCUACGAGGCAGCAGAGACCCACUCUCCUUGUAUGUGGGCAGACACAGGUAGAGCGACUGGAGAGAGGAUGAAGACCCAUAUACCCUCAGUAGAGCCUUUAAGAACCCUUGUAGUCUGACCCCUGGCAACUUCUCCAGUUCCACCCAGGACCAGCACCCCCAGCUCUGUGCUCAGUGUGAGCCUUCUUCCUGCUCCUCACCAGCUCCAGGCCCAGGCAGCUCCCUCUGCUGGGAACCCUCUCUUCUGCCAUGGCUGCCACACCCACCUCAUUUGCCUAAUCAUCCCUUCUCGUUUUCCACAUACCAGCUCAAAUAUCACUUCUUCAGGGAAGCCUUCUCUGAUUCCCAGACCACCUUAGCCCUUCUGCCUCGUACAUCUUUGAUCACUUUUCCUUUGUCAUACAUCAGUUUGUAAUCAUAAACUUAUUUUUGUGGA